UGCCCAGGUGGUGGAAUUGGUAGACACAAGGGACUUAAAAUCCCUCGG
RNAcentral lists this transfer RNA (48 nucleotides) under Helicobacter pylori. Its description in RNAcentral is "partial tRNA-Leu". The record is from RNAcentral. Lineage: Bacteria; Pseudomonadati; Campylobacterota; Epsilonproteobacteria; Campylobacterales; Helicobacteraceae.